AAAAAAUCCCCACCCCCACCCCCCAUCCCUAAGACACAGUUUUCCGAAGUCCCUCGUGUGUGUGUGUGUGUGUGUGUGUGUGUGGACACGUACCACCCAGGGCGGCGAGCGCAUCCCAGGACCAGCCACAGGAGCUCGGGACGUGUCUCCCUUGUCUGUCCCCGCCCGCGCCCCCCUCGCCUCUGCAGGGCCCCCCGGCUGUCACAGUUGCUGUGGUGUUGUGCGUGUGUUGGAUGCUGUGGUGUUGUGCGUGUGAGUCUCUGGGUGGAUCCUGCAUCCUUUUUGGUCCAGUGGGCAUCGUGGGUCUUGGGGGGGGCGGGCUCAGGACUUGUGCUGGGCCGACACGCCCUUCCAGUAGUCCAGGAUGUCGUGCAGAUCCUCGUCUUUGGCGAACUGAACCUUCUUGCGCAGCGCGUGGCCUGCGGCCAUGAACUCUUCUUCCUCCUUGUGCCGCCGGCGGCUCAGUCUGAAGCGCUCCCAGAUGCUCUGGGAGGCCCGGCAGGUGUACUCGGGGCUGGAGGAGUAGCUCAGGCUGUGGUACUGCGGGGACAGCUGCGAGUAGGCGAGGUCGCGGGGCCGCGGCCGGGUGAGCGGCUCCAGGAUGGACGCCUGCGCCCCAGACCCUCGUGCGCAGGCGGCGGCGGUGGCCCGGGGGGCGCAGGUGGCUCGGCCGGGUGGGAGCCGGGUACGAGUGCCGGUGCUCGCCGUACUGGCGACCCUUCGGCCUCGGCCCGCAGCACAGCGGCCGCGGGCGUCACAGUGAGGAUGGCGUCGGCCGCGGGGAGCCCUUCUCGAUGUACUUGGCCUCGGCGGCCGCGGCCUUAUGCACCCCAACAGCCUCAGCUCGGAAGGCGCUGGGGGCUGCGCGCUGAGCUGCCGGACGAGGCGCUGGCACGAGGGGGCCCGGCCCCUCCACGCUGUGGUGCCGCUGCAGGCUGUGGCCGGCGUCCUUGUACCCGGGCGCCAGGAAGCCAUGCUUGGCGGCCAGCGGCUCGGACAGCAGCACCAGCGGCGGCUCGGCGGCGGACACGGGCCCCGACUUGA
This 1044-nucleotide long non-coding RNA is filed under the name Macaca fascicularis (crab-eating macaque). Its description in RNAcentral is "lncRNA (ENSMFAG00000050057.1)". The record is from RNAcentral. Lineage: Eukaryota; Metazoa; Chordata; Mammalia; Primates; Cercopithecidae.